CACAAGGCGGUGGAGCUAUGUGUUUAAUUCGAUGACUACACGAAGAACCUUACCGAGGGUUUGACAUGUAAGUGGUAGUGAUCUGAAAAGUGAACGACCCUUCGGGGAGCUUACACAGGUGCUGCAUGGCUGUCGUCAGCUCGUGUCGUGAGAUGUUCGGUUAAGUCCGCUAACGAGCGCAACCCUCACUGUGUGUUAUACGUGUCACACGGGACUGCCGGUUUUAAGCCGGAGGAAGGCGAGGAUGACGUCAAGUCAGCAUGGCCUUUAUAUCCUGGGCUACACACACGCUACAAUGGUCUGUACAACAGGUUGCCAAACCGCGAGGUGGAGCCAAUCCCUAAAACAGGCCUCAGUUCAGAUUGCAGGCUGCCAACCCGCCUGCAUGAAGCCGGAGUUGCUAGUAACCGCAGGUCAGCUAUACUGCGGUGAAUACGUUCCCGGGUCUU
This 449-nucleotide ribosomal RNA is filed under the name uncultured Anaerolineaceae bacterium. RNAcentral describes it as "bacterial SSU rRNA". It matches the Rfam family "Bacterial small subunit ribosomal RNA", at positions 924 to 1382 of the family's 1533-position model. The record is from RNAcentral. Lineage: Bacteria; Bacillati; Chloroflexota; Anaerolineae; Anaerolineales; Anaerolineaceae.